Clupea harengus (Atlantic herring) is the source of this 1070-nucleotide long non-coding RNA. The record is from Ensembl. NCBI's taxonomy places the organism in Eukaryota, Metazoa, Chordata, Actinopteri, Clupeiformes, Clupeidae.
AUGAAACUUCACAGACCUGUACUGAAUGGUAGUGAUUGCACCUUUUUUAUUUUCUGAUGAGAUUAUUCAGAGCCUCACGACGAGUGUGUUGUACUGUUUUCACCACAGUAUCCCACGUAAUGUCUUUUGAUAUUCGUGCGUCUUGGCCUUCUAGCCAGUGUAAUCUAUGAAACGUUUUUUUUUCUCUAGGUGUCCGUUAACUGAAGGAAAUUGCACCACUUUAUCGGGUAAAGUACUCUGCACACUUUCUAUCUGUUCUUGGUGUGUGACUAUUCUAUGCCUCCUGUGUUUUUUUCCCCCUUGUUUGCCAAAGUGCCUCAAUGAUGAAUCAUUUCCAGAACUCUUUCUUACUGAAUUUCUUUUGAAGAAAUUUCAUUGGAUCUAAGUAUCUAUCUAUCGUUGAUAUUUGUUCGCUUGAUUAGUCAAUUUGGUUGUAUUUUUCUUUUUUUUUUUUUUCAGAGAACUAGAGUACUUCCCCUCAGCAAGGCUGAGAAUAGGUGAGGGCUCAAGUCUUAAACCUGUUAUUCCACAACAUGAUGUAGGAUUAUCUUGUGAUGAACGUAUUGAUCGACAAGCAUAUGUCUGACUUGUUAUGAUGAUUGUCAUUAUUCUGAUUUAAUUGUUGGUUAGUCUAAGACUGCUUAUUUCUACUUUUUUGUUACAGACUUGAGGUAACUGCCAGCAGUUAAUCUUGUUUAUAGGCCUGUGUUGUGUACUGGUGAGUGUCUUUGCUGGGCCUACUGUUCUGUUGGAGUGUAAAGUGAUGAUUUUAAAUCUGACAAGCAUAUGUCUGAUUUCAGUGAUGCUAGUGUUUUUUUUCUGAUACUCUCCAUCUUGGUUAAACGAAUCCAUAUCAAGUGUACCCAGGUUCACAUGGUGGGUGGUUUCCUUUUCAGGCUGUGGGCAUUGCAGAGGCCUAAUUGAGGAUGCGCUUCUUGGUAAGCCGAUUUGCUCUCUGAAGUGUAGUAUUGUGUCUGCAUGAAGCCAUGUCUGCUUGAGCAUACUUGAGUCCUGAGUUUAAAUGGGUUCGUCCCAUAAUCCUCUGGACUACAUGUACCAUGGAAGUCUAG